CGAAAUGCGAUAAGCAAUGUGAAUUGCAGAAUUCAGUGAAUCAUCGAAUCUUUGAACGCACCUUGCGCUCCUUGGUAUUCCUUGGAGCAUGCCUGUUUGAGUAUCAUGAAAUCUUCAAAGUAAAUCUUUUGUUAACUCAAUUGGUUUCUACUUUGGUAUUGGAGGUCUUUGCAGCUUCACACCUGCUCCUCUUUGUUCAUUAGCUGGAUCUCAGUGUUAUGCUUGGUUCCACUCGGCGUGAUAAGUUAUCUAUCGCUGAGGACACUGUAAAAGGUGGCCAAGGUAAAUGCAGAUGAACCGCUUCUAAUAGUCCAUUGACUUGGACAAUACUUUUAUGAUCUGAUCUCAAAUCAGGUAGGACUACCCGCUGAACUUAAGC
This 379-nucleotide unclassified non-coding RNA is filed under the name plant metagenome. Its description in RNAcentral is "partial contains 5.8S ribosomal RNA, internal transcribed spacer 2, and large subunit ribosomal RNA". The stretch from base 1 to 106 matches the Rfam family "5.8S ribosomal RNA", at positions 49 to 154 of the family's 154-position model. The record is from RNAcentral.